Molecule: non-coding RNA, 74 nt
Organism: Pangasius djambal
Lineage: Eukaryota; Metazoa; Chordata; Actinopteri; Siluriformes; Pangasiidae
Source: the annotation of a GenBank genome assembly
GGUGGUCGUGGCCUAAUGGUUAGAGUGUCAGACUUGUAACCUGAAGGUUGUGGGUUCAAGUCUCCAGUUCAGCA